Passer montanus (Eurasian tree sparrow) is the source of this 266-nucleotide long non-coding RNA. RefSeq lists it as uncharacterized. The transcript is spliced from 3 exons. The record is from RefSeq and is a predicted model, not a curated record. NCBI's taxonomy places the organism in Eukaryota, Metazoa, Chordata, Aves, Passeriformes, Passeridae.
CAGUGCUUCAUCUUCGACGCAGCCGGGGCGCUGCUGACCGGGGACUCGGAGGGGAACAUCCUCACCUGGACCCGCACGCCGGGCAAGGGGGGCAAAGACAUGUACCAGAUCGGGCAGCAGACGCGGGCCCACGAGGGCAGCGUGUUCGCGCUCUGCCGCCGCCGCGACGGGACCGUGCUGAGCGGGGGCGGGAAGGACCGCAGGGUGCUCUGCUGGAGCCCCUCGCUGGAGCUGCUGCACGAGGUCGAGCUCCCCGAGAGCUUUGG